GAAGUCGAAGAAGCAUAGUAAGGUAACUUUUGUCGAGUAACGUACUGAUUAGCAUGAUGACAGACUGAUCCCGGUGGUUUGUGAGUUUCCAGAGCUUUAUAACUGAUUUUUAUAAGUUUAGGCAGAACAAGUAUGUAUCGUUUUAUUUUAAGCUAGGCUGUAAAGUUAGCACUAAUGCUAAUUUAGCUACCAAUAAUAACAGUCUGUGCUUAUCUAAGACAAGAUUACCACGUGUGUCGACACAUGAUUGGGGAUAUCCCCACAAUGUUAUUUUAUUUAACACUCGCACUUAACACUGGUCGAUAUUCGUAGCUUUGCCGUUUCCAUGGUUACCACGUGUAGUACCCAGAUCAGACACGUUACAGACAAUAGUGUCUCCCUGUCUGAAUUUUUGUACACCGUUUAUCAUAGCCUGUUAUGAUAGGCUCAAGCAGAAUGGUAAUCAAUCCUCCUCACGUUCCAUAAUCCCAGCAAUAAAAGAUACUGUGGACAGUCCAUCAUACCCAGGACUACAGUAUCCUAGAUGCCAACCACAUAAUGGAAGAAAUGAAGAAAAAACAACCAAAUGUGGCACUCUCAUUUCACAAAUGAUGGACCAAUCAUUCCCACUAUGCAGACAAGAAAUUCUAAAAAACAAGGGCCUGCUGUACAGAACAUGGUUAAACGAUGGCCAGCACUUUUCACAGAGAGACAGGUGUUUGCUGAGUUUAAUAGAAUCGACAGUAAGAAUCUUGAGGGGGACUUGAGGCUUUGGACCAGUAUGCCCCACGUUUCAUCAAACUUUUCAAAACAAAAAGGGAAACCCAAGGACUGAGUUGGCCAGAAACUCAAGGAGCUGAUGCAGCACAUGAGCUGGCUGACACCAGACGUGACAGUACUUCACUCAUUUGUCCUCAAAGGCAUGACGACUCCAGUGAAUUCUACAAGACCUGCUCUGAUGCAGCGAGAGACAAGGCUCUAGAACGCAUCACUGUUGGUGUCCUGACGGUUGUCAGUGAAGAUAGUCCUCACGAAGCUUAGUGGUCCUCCAGCCCAUCUCCACUGCCAUCAUUCUGGAGGGAGGUAUUGUUAUGGAUAAUGUUAAGAACUUGCCUCAAGUCUUUUGUUUGGGCUUACAUAUGCAUUGCAUUUGGAUUACCCAAAAUGCAUGGCAAAUACACUCAACUUCAUUCAGACUGUGAUGCUUGGACUGGGAAAGAAAAACCUCCCACCAAAACGGUUGACUCUGAAGAACAGUCUUCUGGGUUAGAACAAUAAAGAGCUGUCAGAUAGCACUUUGUAAGCUUUGCAGCUAUUAAUGUUCUCCUGUUAUUAGAGACAGUUUGAUGCUGUCAUGCAACUGUAUUUGCUUCUGAUCUUAAUAAAAAAAGAAAUUCUAUUAAA
Misgurnus anguillicaudatus (oriental weatherfish) is the source of this 1383-nucleotide non-coding RNA. The record is from RefSeq and is a predicted model, not a curated record. Lineage: Eukaryota; Metazoa; Chordata; Actinopteri; Cypriniformes; Cobitidae.